ACGCGAGGAACCUUACCAGGUCUUGACAUCCUCUGACACUCCUAGAGAUAGGACGUUCCCCUUCGGGGGACAGAGUGACAGGUGGUGCAUGGUUGUCGUCAGCUCGUGUCGUGAGAUGUUGGGUUAAGUCCCGCAACGAGCGCAACCCUUGAUCUUAGUUGCCAGCAUUAAGUUGGGCACUCUAAGGUGACUGCCGGUGACAAACCGGAGGAAGGUGGGGAUGACGUCAAAUCAUCAUGCCCCUUAUGACCUGGGCUACACACGUGCUACAAUGGAUGGUACAAAGGGCAGCAAAGCGGCGACGCCGAGCAAAUCCCAUAAAACCAUUCUCAGUUCGGAUUGUAGGCUGCAACUCGCCUACAUGAAGCUGGAAUCGCUAGUAAUCGCGGAUCAGCAUGCCGCGGUGAAUACGUUCCCGGGCCUUGCACACACCGCCCGU
RNAcentral lists this ribosomal RNA (439 nucleotides) under uncultured bacterium. Its description in RNAcentral is "bacterial SSU rRNA". It matches the Rfam family "Bacterial small subunit ribosomal RNA", at positions 959 to 1397 of the family's 1533-position model. The record is from RNAcentral.